CCUCGUAAAAUCGACGUAAAUUUACGAGGAUUGUUUUUCUUCGUUAAAUUUCCUCGCUAAGUAUGUGUUUUCUUGUAGUGUAGUAUCAAAUGGUGAUUUAUUUAUGUUUUUAAAAAUCAUAUUUUUUAACUGAACUAGAAUAAAACUAGAAAAAUCAACUCGGUUGAACUGAAAAUACAAAUAAAACCAAUUAAACCCAACCAAAAACAAACCAAACAAAACUAAAACCGAACAGAAAUCAAAACCUAACC
RNAcentral lists this long non-coding RNA (251 nucleotides) under Brassica napus (rape). Its description in RNAcentral is "long non-coding RNA (BNAP_LNC009862)". Lineage: Eukaryota; Viridiplantae; Streptophyta; Magnoliopsida; Brassicales; Brassicaceae. The record is from RNAcentral.